RNAcentral lists this ribosomal RNA (774 nucleotides) under uncultured Neocallimastigales. Its description in RNAcentral is "partial large subunit ribosomal RNA". It matches the Rfam family "Eukaryotic large subunit ribosomal RNA", at positions 24 to 648 of the family's 3401-position model. The record is from RNAcentral. Lineage: Eukaryota; Fungi; Neocallimastigomycota; Neocallimastigomycetes; Neocallimastigales.
UACGACUACAUAUCAGGCAUAUCAAUAAGCGGAGGAAAAGAAACUAACAAGGAUUCCCUUAGUAACGGCGAGUGAAGCGGGAAGGGCUCAAAUUUGAAAUCUUAAAGGGUUUCCCUUUACGAAUUGUAGUUUAAAGAAGUGUUUUCUGUUGGAGUUUCGGUAAAAGUUCUUUGGAAUAGGACAUCAUAGAGGGUGAGAAUCCCGUAUUUGACCGUUACUUUCCAGCUGUGUGAUACACUUUCAAAGAGUCGGAUUGUUUGGGAAUGCAGUCCAAGAUGGGUGGUAAAUUUCAUCUAAAGCUAAAUAUUGGCGAGAGACCGAUAGCGAACAAGUACCGUGAGGGAAAGAUGAAAAGAACUUUGAAAAGAGAGUUAAACAGUACGUGAAAUUGUCAAAAGGGAAGCGUUUGACACCAGUGUUGUUUUCCCAAAAAUCAAUUACGAAUGGCUUGAUUUUGUGUUGUAUUGACCUUAUCAGCUUUCUUCACUUUUUUCGAGUCUUUCUUAAUGCACUUUUCGGUUAACAAGUCGACAUCAAUUUCUUUUGUUGUAAAAGAGUAUUCGGAAGGUGGCUUUCUUUUCGGAGAAAGUGUUUAUAGCCCUAUACUUCUACAAUCGGAGAGAUUGAGGUCUGCAGCGUAGAUCCUUCGGGGUUAGAUACACUUGUGCUAAGUUGUAGCUUUUCAUAGACAACUUGUUGACUAUGUUUAGUCAUGCGGCUUACUCGCUUGUGCUAUUUUACCUACGCUUAGGAUGUUGAGUAGCGACAUACGCA